RNAcentral lists this ribosomal RNA (767 nucleotides) under uncultured eukaryote. Its description in RNAcentral is "bacterial SSU rRNA". It matches the Rfam family "Eukaryotic small subunit ribosomal RNA", at positions 676 to 1248 of the family's 1831-position model. The record is from RNAcentral.
UGACGGACCUGGCCCAACAUCGCUGUUUUGCGUUGCUGUGUGCCGGUUCUGGUGUCCGGGUGUCGCGCUCGUUGUCGGGUUGGCUCGGUUCGCUGGGUCGAUCGGGCGAGUUGUGCCCCGUGUACACUUGUUCGUCGGACAUCCUUCAGGAGAACCGCUCUGCCAUUCACUUGGUUGGGGCGAGGAUCCUGAUCGUUUACUUUGAAAAAAUUAGAGUGUUUAACGCAGGCUUCAUUGUCGCGAAUAGAUUAGCAUGGAAUAAUAAGAUAGGACUUCGGCACCGCUGGUGGCUGCCGGUUGUGGCGUGGCCUUGUGUUGCGUCUGCGGCCGGAGCAACAGUUGCUGGUUUUCUAUUUUGUUGGUUUCUAGAGCUGAAGUAAUGAUUGAUAGGGAUAGUUGGGGGUGCUUGUAUUGCGGGGCCAGAGGUGAAAUUCUCGGAUUCUCGUAAGACAAACUUCUGCGAAAGCAUUCACCAAGGAUGUCUUCUUUAAUCAAGAACGAAAGUUGGGGGAUCGAAGACGAUCAGAUACCGUCGUAGUCUCAACCAUAAACUAUACCGACUCGGGAUUGGGCGUCGUUGACAAAUUGGACUCGCUCAGCACCGUAUUUGAGAAAUCACAAGUCUUUGGGUUCUGGGGGGAGUAUGGUCGCAAGGCUGAAACUUAAAGGAAUUGACGGAAGGGCACCACCAGGCGUGGAGCCUGCGGCUUAAUUUGACUCAACACGGGAAAACUUACCAGGUCCAGACAUAGUGAGGAUUGACAGAU